GAUGAACGCUGGCGGCGUGCCUAAUACAUGCGAGUCGAGCGAACAGACGAGGAGCUUGCUCCUCUGACGUUAGCGGCGGACGGGUGAGUAACACGUGGAUAACCUACCUAUAAGACUGGGAUAACUUCGGGAAACCGGAGCUAAUACCGGAUAAUAUAUUGAACCGCAUGGUUCAGUAGUGAAAGACGGUUUUGCUGUCACUUAUAGAUGGAUCCGCGCCGCAUUAGCUAGUUGGUAAGGUAACGGCUUACCAAGGCAACGAUGCGUAGCCGACCUGAGAGGGUGAUCGGCCACACUGGAACUGAGACACGGUCCAGACUCCUACGGGAGGCAGCAGUAGGGAAUCUUCCGCAAUGGGCGAAAGCCUGACGGAGCAACGCCGCGUGAGUGAUGAAGGUCUUCGGAUCGUAAAACUCUGUUAUUAGGGAAGAACAAAUGUGUAAGUAACUAUGCACGUCUUGACGGUACCUAAUCAGAAAGCCACGGCUAACUACGUG
This 497-nucleotide ribosomal RNA is filed under the name uncultured bacterium. RNAcentral's name for it is "partial 16S ribosomal RNA". It matches the Rfam family "Bacterial small subunit ribosomal RNA", at positions 28 to 507 of the family's 1533-position model. The record is from RNAcentral.